This 767-nucleotide ribosomal RNA is filed under the name uncultured bacterium. RNAcentral's name for it is "bacterial SSU rRNA". It matches the Rfam family "Bacterial small subunit ribosomal RNA", at positions 59 to 875 of the family's 1533-position model. The record is from RNAcentral.
CAGUCGAGCGCCCCACAAGGGGAGCGGCAGACGGGUGAGUAACGCGUGGGAAUGUACCCUUUGCUACGGGAUAGCUCCGGGAAACUGGAAUUAAUACCGUAUGUGCCCUUCGGGGGAAAGAUUUAUCGGCAAGGGAUCAGCCCGCGUUGGAUUAGCUAGUUGGUGGGGUAAAAGCCUACCAAGGCGACGAUCCAUAGCUGGUCUGAGAGGAUGAUCAGCCACAUUGGGACUGAGACACGGCCCAAACUCCUACGGGAGGCAGCAGUGGGGAAUAUUGGACAAUGGGCGCAAGCCUGAUCCAGCCAUGCCGCGUGUGCGAUGAAGGCCUUAGGGUUGUAAAGCACUUUCACCGAUGAAGAUAAUGACGGUAGUCGGAGAAGAAGCCCCGGCUAACUUCGUGCCAGCAGCCGCGGUAAUACGAAGGGGGCUAGCGUUGUUCGGAAUUACUGGGCGUAAAGCGCACGUAGGCGGAUAUUUAAGUCAGGGGUGAAAUCCCAGAGCUCAACUCUGGAACUGCCUUUGAUACUGGGUAUCUUGAGUAUGGAAGAGGUAAGUGGAAUUCCGAGUGUAGAGGUGAAAUUCGUAGAUAUUCGGAGGAACACCAGUGGCGAAGGCGGCUUACUGGUCCAUUACUGACGCUGAGGUGCGAAAGCGUGGGGAGCAAGCAGGAUUAGAUACCCUGGUAGUCCACGCCGUAAACGAUGAAUGUUAGCCGUCGGGCAGUUGACUGUUCGGUGGCGCAGCUAACGCAUUAAACAUUCCGCCUG